AUUGAACGCUGGCGGCAUGCCUUACACAUGCAAGUCGAACGGCAGCACGGAGCGUGCUCUGGUGGCGAGUGGCGAACGGGUGAGUAAUAUAUCGGAACGUACCCAAGAGGGGGGGAUAACGUAGCGAAAGUUACGCUAAUACCGCAUACGCUCUCAGGAUGAAAGCAGGGGACCUUCGGGCCUUCUUCUCCUGGAGCGGCCGAUAUCUGGUUAGCUAGUUGGUGAGGGAAAGGCUCACAAAGGCAUCGAUCAGUAGCUGGUCUGAGAGGACGACCAGCCACACUGGAACUGAGACACGGUCCAGACUCCUACGGGAGGCAGCAGUGGGGAAUUUUGGACAAUGGGGGCAACCCUGAUCCAGCAAUGCCGCGUGAGUGAAGAAGGCCUUCGGGUUGUAAAGCUCUUUUGUCAGGGAAGAAACGGUGAAGGCUAAUAUCCUUUGCUAAUGACGGUACCUGAAGAAUAAGCACCGGCUAACUACGUGCCAGCAGCCGCCGUAA
RNAcentral lists this ribosomal RNA (500 nucleotides) under uncultured bacterium. RNAcentral describes it as "partial 16S ribosomal RNA". It matches the Rfam family "Bacterial small subunit ribosomal RNA", at positions 30 to 523 of the family's 1533-position model. The record is from RNAcentral.